Myotis davidii is the source of this 75-nucleotide non-coding RNA. NCBI's taxonomy places the organism in Eukaryota, Metazoa, Chordata, Mammalia, Chiroptera, Vespertilionidae. The record is from Rfam.
GGCGGUUUUCAGUUGACGCACCCCAGAAUCGGACUCCCUCCUCUCUAGUUCUGGGUGUGUCACCCAAGAACCACC